UGGAAUUGGGGUGGGAGGAGGAAGCGACAAGAAAGGGAAGGAGAAGGGACUCUUCAUAUUCGGAAAGGUUAUUGAAAUGCAUGUGAUGGGUUUAAGGUAUUUUGUCUCUGUGUGUAUGUGUGUGUGUUUUUAUUUUAUUAAUAAUAUAUAAAGUAAGUUUCAGAUUAUUGCAUUUGGAUUUUUAUAAACACAAGUGGGGACAUAUUUUUGGGUUUCUUCUGUCACAUUUUUGCACUCACUUUCCCCUCCACUUUUCUUGUUAUUUAUUUUUAAUUUUUAUGCUUACAAGUGUAAAUUAUUAAUCACUAACCAACAAAACUCUCUCUUAAUUCAAUUACAUUACCCACCGUUUAUUUUGAAUUCCUCUAGUUUUUCUUUUCUAAUUCCUCCACUAAAACCCUUCCCCAUUGUUAAUUAUUUGUGUGUUGAAUGAUUAACAUGUUGUUCAUUGCGUAAUACGAUUUACUUUACACAAUUAAUUAACACUUCCUUAUUAACUCUAUUAGCUUCUUUAAUCAAACUGCAAUGUGAAAAUCAUAAGUUUAGUUUAUGUUAUGGUUGAAGUUAAGGGCGGUGUUCUCAUCCCAAACGAAUACAAGACAAAUUAAAAACAAUUGAGUUGUUCGGUCCAAUUGGUUUGCCUCAGCCUUGGAGGCUAAAGCCAACUUACCCUAUCUGACUUUGAUAGAUGCCAAAGAAGAAAGGGUGAAUCAAUCGGGUUGCUCGACCUUUCAACCGCAUUUGCCUUGCAACUAUGUUUUAGAAGAUGUUAAAAGGAGAGGACAAAAGAAAUUGGGCUGAUUGCCUGAACCCCCCUCCCCCUCCCCUUGAUGCCAACUUUAAUUUAUCACAUUCUCUAUAGCAUGUUCUCAAUAAGCUUCUUAUAUGGCUUUGUUGUGUGCCCCAACUCAAUACUCAGUAGUUUGAUUUGCGAGUUAUUUUCCUAACCUUAUGUGCAUACAACUAUUAUAUAGAGCAUGAUAGUUCCGCGUCAAUUAAGUAGUUCAUGUUCUUCCCAAUAUUUUACUACGACCUUUUUUGUGAAAACUAACCUGUAACACAAUGUUGCAAGUGAUCCCUUCCCCACAAUACAAAUGCAAAGACGGCAACACAAGAAGGUUCAAAUCUUCAUUUUUUUCAAUAGUAAUUUAGUAUAAGAUUUUUGUCAACUGGAUUUAAAAAUUUAUCAUUUCUAAAUUGAGUUCGAAUCUUCAAGUUUAGAGACCAAGUAGAUAUAAAACCUUGUGGUAUAAUUUCUUUUUCUUUUAACGAAGUUUGCAUUAAGAAAAUUGAAGCUUAAUCUAUGGGUAUUUGAACACCAACUUGUGGGAGGAUCUUUGAGCAUCUAGUUUGUAAUGGUUAGUGUUUUCAACUGUUUAUAGCCAUGAUUGGUGUCCCGUUGGGUUUUACCCAAUCGAUCGGGUAAUUUGGGCAUCAAUUCGUUUGAAUGAAAUCUGCCCGAAGUAAAUUGAGGCCUAGGCCCAGGCCCAUUUACAGUUGUUACGAACUAACGGGCCCGGAUGAAUAUUUCACGCUUUCCAGGACGGGGCUACAAUUUUCCGAUCAGCCGCCGGUCAGUGUUCUAUCUUUUGUAUCCAUUUGAAGCCGAGCAAUGUUCGAAAGUCUUGCUUAUGUAAUACUUUACUAACCGAUUUUCAUAUUUGCCCAUUUUCCGCUACGGAAAGAGGAACAUUAUUAAUGGUGACUGCAAUGUACGGCUGGAGGUGCCUUGAUGCCGUUACUUGCUACGUUAAGACCACGGGUUUGGUUGAAGGUUAUCUUGAUUGUUGGGAGUUUGGCAUCAUGUGCCAUUUAUGAUUGUUGUUGAAGAUGGUUGCGCUUACGUUGGAAAAUCAACUUGUGUAUUGAAAUCCAUGAGUAGGCGCCAACCAAGUAACUUUUCUUUCCUUGAUUGGGUCUGUACUGCUUCUACUAUUGUGCUUUACAUAUUUGUGUGUACAGUUGCUAAAAGAGACAACUAACACUUUUUUAAAGGAAACACUCCGAGGGAACAGAAAAGCUGAUGUUAUUUGUUU
Molecule: long non-coding RNA, 2036 nt
Organism: Cucumis sativus (cucumber)
Lineage: Eukaryota; Viridiplantae; Streptophyta; Magnoliopsida; Cucurbitales; Cucurbitaceae
Exons: 3
Source: RefSeq, a predicted model, not a curated record